UCCUAUGGGGGUGGAUCAGGAUCCUAUGGGGGUGGAUCAGGAUCCUAUGGAGGAUCACAAGGAGGAUCCAGUUCAGGCUCAGGCAGACCUGGAUCCCAAGGGGGCAGUGGAUCGGGAUCCUAUGGGGGUGGAUCGGGAUCCUAUGGAGGAGGAUCGGGAUCCUAUGGGGGAUCACAAGGAGGAUCUAGUUCAGGCUCAGGCAGACCUGGAUCCCAAGGGGGAAGUGGAUCCGGAUCAGGAUCCCAUGGGGGUGGAUCGGGAUCCCAUGGAGGAGGAUCAGGAUCCUAUGGGGGUGGAUCAGGAUCCUAUGGAGGUUCACAAGGAGGAUCCAGUUCAGGCUCAGGCAGACCCGGAUCCCAUGGGAGCAGUGGAUCUGGAUCGGGAAAACCUGGAUCCCAAGGAGGCAGCGGAUCGGGAUCCUAUGGGGGUGGAUCAGGAUCCUAUGGGGGAGGAUCGGGAUCCCAGGGAGGAGGAUCAGGAUCCUAUGGGGGUGGAUCGGGAUCCUAUGGGGGAUCACAAGGAGGAUCCAGUUCAGGAUCAGGCAGACCCGGAUCCCAUGGGAGCAGCGGAUCCCAGGGGGGAAUUGGGUCUGGAUCAGGCAGACCUGGAUCCCAAGGAAGCAGCGGAUCAGGAUCCUAUGGGAGUGGAUCCAGCUCCUAUGGGGGGGGAUCAAGCUCCUAUGGGGACAGCUCAGGAUCCUAUGGGCUCCCGGAGUCCUAUGGGGGCUCAUCCCAAGGGGGUGGAUCCAGCUCCUAUGGGGAUGGAUCUGGCUCCUAUGGAGGAUCCAGUUCCUAUGGGGAUGGAUCCAGCUCCUAUGGGGGAGGAUCGGGAUCGGGUUCCUAUGGGGGUGGAUCGAGCUCCGGCUCCUAUGGGGGUGGCACCGGCUCCUAUGGGGGUGGCUCCGGCUCCCUCGGGGGCAGCCGCCGUCCCGGGUACAAGAACCCGGGGAUCCCGUUCAUCCCGGGGCUCCACGAUCCCGCCCGCACCGGGGGCUACAUCCCGGUGCGCAGGGAGCGGCCGUCGGGAUCCGGUGGCUCCGGCUCCAGGUCCGGGUCCGGGCAGGGAUCCGGUGGCUCCGGGUCCGGCUGCGGGGACUGCGCCGCUUAGGGGGCAGGCGGAGCCCGAAUCCCGACCCAUGGAUCCCAAUAAACGUGUUCCUAUGGCAGCAUCAGGCUCGUCCCUGCCCCUCGAUCAGCACCAACCGGAUGGACCGGAGCGGCCGGAUGCGGCCGUGGGUGGGAAUGGGGACAUGGGGAUAUCCAUGGGAUGGGGACAUCAGGAAUGGGGACAUGGGGAUAUCCAUGGGAUGGGGUUGGGGACAUCAGGAAUGGGGAUAUCCAUGGGAUGGAGUUGGGAGCAUCAGGAAUGGGGACAUUGGGAUAUCCAUGGGAUGGGGUUGGGAGCAUCAGGAAUGGGGACAUGGGGAUAUCCAUGGGAUGGGGUUGGGGACAUCAGGAAUGGGAUAGGAUGGGGACACCCAAAGACGGGAAUGGGGACACUGAGGACAUGGGGAAUGGGACACCUAUGGGAUGGGGACAUCAGGGAUGGAAUGGGGACACCCAGAAUGCUGGGAAUGGGGACAUUAGGAACAUAG
Long non-coding RNA from Melopsittacus undulatus (budgerigar), 1594 nucleotides. The record is from Ensembl. Lineage: Eukaryota; Metazoa; Chordata; Aves; Psittaciformes; Psittaculidae.